GAAUCUGCCUUCUGGUCGGGGACAACCACUGGAAACGGUGGCUAAUACCGGAUGAGCCGAAGGGUAAAAGAUUAAUUGCCAGAAGAGGAGCUCGCGUCUGAUUAGCUAGUUGGUAGGGUAAAAGCCUACCAAGGCAUCGAUCAGUAGCUGGUCUGAGAGGACGAUCAGCCACACUGGGACUGAGACACGGCCCAGACUCCUACGGGAGGCAGCAGUGGGGAAUUUUCCGCAAUGGGCGAAAGCCUGACGGAGCAAGACCGCGUGAGGGAAGAAGGCUCUUGGGUCGUAAACCUCUUUUGUCAGGGAAGAACACAAUGACGGUACCUGACGAAUCAGCCUCGGCUAACUCCGUGCCAGCAGCCGCGGUAAUACGGAGGAGGCAAGCGUUAUCCGGAAUUAUUGGGCGUAAAGCGUCCGCAGGUGGCGAUUCAAGUCUGCGGUCAAAGACUGGGGCUUAACCCUGGAAAGGCCGUGGAAACUGAAGAGCUAGAGUGCAGUAGGGGUAGAGGGAAUUCCCGGUGUAGCGGUGAAAUGCGUAGAGCUCGGGAAGAACAUCGGUGGCGAAAGCGCUCUGCUGGACUGCAACUGACACUCAGGGACGAAAGCUAGGGGAGCG
RNAcentral lists this ribosomal RNA (616 nucleotides) under uncultured cyanobacterium. RNAcentral describes it as "bacterial SSU rRNA". It matches the Rfam family "Bacterial small subunit ribosomal RNA", at positions 122 to 770 of the family's 1533-position model. Lineage: Bacteria; Bacillati; Cyanobacteriota. The record is from RNAcentral.